This is a long non-coding RNA of Gadus macrocephalus (Pacific cod), 1695 nucleotides long. RefSeq lists it as uncharacterized. The transcript has 2 exons. The record is from RefSeq and is a predicted model, not a curated record. Lineage: Eukaryota; Metazoa; Chordata; Actinopteri; Gadiformes; Gadidae.
AAUCCUGGAUGGAGAGAAUUCAAGGGGACAUCAUUUUGCAUUGCUUGGAUCAAGCAUUUACUUUAGACUCAUGUGGGGGAUAUUAAGAAAGAGUGAGUUUUAGUGCCAAUAUCUGAGAUAGGCCUGGGCGGUAUAACUGUAUACCAGGUUACUUAGAAAUACCGUAGGUACUAUUCAAUACCGUCCAAAUUACAGACGCUCCUCUUUCUAUUUUUCAUCUGACAUCUUAUUGAUGCACCUUUUUAUUAUGUUGAUAUAGAUCUGUCUCUGUUUCGUAGCAGGAUAAAGCAUUUGCAUUGUGUUUGAGACUGAAAAAGGUUUGUUCGCCAAUGAAGAGUGUCUGUCCUGCCUAGGCGGACGUAGUUCUACUACAAGCAAUCAUGUACCUGCUAUGCUGAGAGGCAUCCAGUGCUAGGAAAUGCAUGCUGGGAAAAACCCUUGGCAGGGCGUUGAAGUGAGGGGCAAGGCUGGCGGAGAACUGGCACCAGGUGGUGAAGAAGAGCACCACGGAGCACUCGGUCCCGUUGGCGUUCAGGAACUCCAUCAGGUCCUGCAGCACAUCACCAGCAAGCAGGGUUUGACCAGCGCAGACAUGACUGCAUGAUAUUACCGGUGCCAACAGGGCUUACAUGGUAACAGUGGCAGGAAGGGGUUUGCAUCGCAAUAGGUCGUCCAAAGUUGAGAAAUCUAUGCACUCAUUGUUCUGAUUAAAGACUCCAUUAUGGCAUUCAUAUUUCAAAUUGAAUAGAUGAAUAGAUCAUUAUCUGAUAAAAACGUUAAUAGAUGUAGUAUUUAUGUGUGAAACUACCCUUUGAGUACCCAUAGUGCAUCAACAAGUCCAUUCCUCACAGGAAGACAGGAAUUACCUGUGAGGCAUUCAGGACCUGCACAGUAAAGUCCUCCAUCCCGGUGAUAUUCCUCCUAUCACAGUUGACCUUGUGCGUCUUCGUGGUCUCCGUUGUGUUCUGCUCCUCCGUCACCAUGGCGUCCACGUGCACCAUAUCCAGAGUAACCUUGGAACAGGGAAGAGAGGGCACCGAAUGUGAGACCACCCUAUACAUAUCGUUUGGAAAUCAAACAACGGAAAAUAAAAAGUAGGUAGUGAAUACAUUUUCAAACCAAUAUCGAUUUAGGGUUAUGCCCAGGGAGAUGAAAGUUUGCAUAUGAUAAUGUAGGCAGAAGCCACAUUUAAUGGCUGUUGGUACCCCGAAUCCCCAAAUCCUUAAAUCUUUAUAGACUAUUAAUAUGUAAAGAGGCUUUGUUUACAGUCACCUGCUCUGUUUCCGGGCUGUUCUUCAAAAGUACUCCAUCAGGAGCCUGAGAGGGUGCAGCACACUCUGCAUCAUCCUCAGCACAAGGUGGCAAGAAGCCACUCUGGAAGUCUUUCACAUUUUUGGGAUACAGGGACUCUAUGUCCGAUGGAUCGAUGGGGGUUUCAGUCCCCAUAAGGGCAUCUGCAAUUUCAGCAGUUUUGAACUGCCGUUUCGGGUGAGACUCAAAGUUGUCCGUCUCAACGAAUUUAGGGCUGUUCUCCAGGUCGGAGAGGGCAUCCUCACUCCAUUUUGUCUCUGAAGACUCACUGCUCUCUGUGAACGUGGUCAAACAAUAGCAAUGCAUAUCAACUAUACUAGAAACGUUAGUCAUUGAUAAAAACCUCCUUAAAUAUCCAAGCAUACAUCUGGUAGAAAAUGAAAA